UGAUCUGAUUUCCACUACCAC
RNAcentral lists this non-coding RNA (21 nucleotides) under Arabidopsis thaliana (thale cress). The record is from RNAcentral. Lineage: Eukaryota; Viridiplantae; Streptophyta; Magnoliopsida; Brassicales; Brassicaceae.